Microcebus murinus (gray mouse lemur) is the source of this 589-nucleotide non-coding RNA. Lineage: Eukaryota; Metazoa; Chordata; Mammalia; Primates; Cheirogaleidae. The record is from RefSeq and is a predicted model, not a curated record.
AAAAAAAAAUUAUUUAAGGUAGGAACCCCAUCAAUAUGGCACUCAAUGCUGAAAUGCUUACCAUACUGGGUAGGGUACAGCAUAAUUUAACAGAUUGGGGCCAGCCUACCUGUCAGAUGCAAAUUAACCUUAAAGGGUUGUUAUGCAUUUGAUUCUUCUGGAUCAAUUACUUUUAAGAAUUUUCUUUUUUUUCUUUUAUUUCUUUUUUUAUUUCAAAAUAUUAAGAGAGUACUUGCAGGUACAACAGGCAAAAAAUAUUUUUUUAAUAAAAAAAUAUUUUUAAAUGUUAAGAGGGUACAAGUUUUCAUCACAUGGAUAUCUUACGUAAUGCUUAAGUCAGGGCUUUUGGAGUGCCCACCACCAGAAUACUGUUCAUUGUACCCAGGGUUAAACAUCAAACGUGGAAGCCACUUGGAUUUAUAUUCCAACUCUACCAGUUUACCAAGCUGUGUGAUUGGUUUUGCUUUGUUGCCUGGGAUAGAGUGCAGUGGCUUCAUCAUGGCUCACUAGAACCUCAACUUCGUGUGCUCAAGAGGUCCUCCUGCCUCAGCCUUCUGAGUAGCUGGGAUUACAGGCCCAAGCCACAAAG